UCUAAUGAUGGCGGCUACAAGAAGAUAUUUU
This 31-nucleotide small RNA is filed under the name Arabidopsis thaliana (thale cress). RNAcentral describes it as "ATSL010190". The record is from RNAcentral. Lineage: Eukaryota; Viridiplantae; Streptophyta; Magnoliopsida; Brassicales; Brassicaceae.